Long non-coding RNA from Astatotilapia calliptera (eastern happy), 4634 nucleotides. The record is from Ensembl. NCBI's taxonomy places the organism in Eukaryota, Metazoa, Chordata, Actinopteri, Cichliformes, Cichlidae.
CUUUUGACCUGUUCUCUGUUUGCCUUGGUCGGGCACAGGAAUUUGCUUCAACCUCUCAUGCCCACUGCCAGCCUGCCUGGCACCACCACAUUUAUUUUUGUUCUUUACAAAUUGAACCUUUGCUUUAUCCUUAUUGACACAUUCCAAGACUGAAGGGAGCCCAACUGCAUUCAAAAAACAGGAGCACAAAAAAAUAGUGUUCCUGAAAUUAAGAUGAAGACAAGUCAGAGAAGUGGGGAAAAAGACACAACUGAGGCAGCAGCUUAAAAUGUGUUGCAUUUUUAUUUAAAAAAAAAAAGACAUUAAAUAUUCAAAAUCAUCUCCUUUCUCAGAGAAAAAUAAUAGCUGUGUGAUUUCUAGUUAGCUAUGAUAAAAAAAAAAUCAUUGCAUGAUAAACUUGAAUACAUUUACCCGUGAACAGAGAAGAGUCUUACCAGCAAGAAGAAAACAAAAGCAAGAAAGGAAAAGAUAAAAGGUGACAUUACACAAGUGUGACCCUGGCUCUGCUAACAGACUGGGGCAGGAUGGCUGGGUGUGCAUGGAGAGAACUGACUUACUGAGAGGUGAGAGGUUCACUGGCCUUAAGAAGCAGUGAACUACGAUGAGGAUGUAUCUGAAUGUCUGACUGAUGUAGAUGUGCACAGAGCUAUCCAAAGAGCAACAGAAGGAAAAGGUUGAUUUAAAAAAAGAAGAAAACAUUCAUUAGUGAUUAUAUUCCCCAAAGUACACUGAAUCAUAGACUUUUGCUGUGCAAUUGGUGAGUCACUGGUGUUCAUAAGAAGUUUGGAUCAGCUUAUAGUUCUUUCUUAUAUAAAUAAGGUUUUUUUAUUUUUACGUACUGUACAUGAUGUCUAGUCAGACACAAAGCUGGCCAGGAAAUACUAAUACUAAUACUAAUACUAAUACUAAUAAUAAUAAUAAUAAUAAUAAUAAUAAUAUAUAAAAAGACACACAAAUAUUAGGGAGGGAAUAGCUUAAACAUAUUUUUAUGUGUGUCCUCCCCCUUAACAUCAAGUCUUUGAAUAGAUUGGAUAUAGCACCAACAGGCUGGUUCUAAGAUGUUGCUGUCUGUUAGAGGAAGUUUACAGCCGAUGUUUUUUAUGCUACCAAGCUACUGGGCAAGCAUUCUUUGUCGGCGCUCUCUCCACUUUUCAAGUCUUUACACAGGACGCAGGAGAGCAUCAGGGCAGGAAGCUCCUCGAGGAGGACCACACCUCCUCCCUCGGACCCCCUACCACUUGUGUGAAUGCAUAUUUGGUGCCGUGUUCACCUUGUGGAGAUUUGUUGGCGUACGAUCAUACAAGCAAGUUUUUUCAAAGAAACAACAACAACAACAACAACAACCAAAAGAAAAGAGAAAAGAAAUAGUUGCAUUGAAUGGAAAACUUCUAAAGGGGCUGAUCUCUAAGUUUGCUGUCAGAAGUCCUGGUGUAGUUUUGUUUCUUUCUUUCUUACAUUUUUUUCCUCCUCCUCCAUAGGUUAGUAUUGUUUUUUGUUGUUGUUGUUUUUCAAACUGUAUCACACUCUUUCAUCUGACAUUACCUAGGAAAGGAAUGCAGAUGCUGAUAGGUCCAAUUGUCUUUAACUGCAUGCAUUGACAAGUAGCAGUGCAGCUAAAGUGCUUUAAGUGCUUGUGCUUGAAGCAUGAGGGGCAGCUGGCACCUGUGGCAAUGCAAGCCAGUCAUACCGGGCUCACCCCGAUUAAAAAAAAAAAAAACCUACACCAGGUUGCAUCACUGACAAGAGAGGAGUACUGGAGGUGGGCAGGGUGCUGGAGAGAGGAAAUUAGGCACACGGAUUGGACACACCUUCCAACAGUAGGGGUGAAGACAAGAAGGGUUGGAUGGGCUAAGUGAGAAGAUGUAUGACAGAGGGGCUGAAGGCCAAAGGGGGACAUGGAUGAAGACAAGAACAGCAAGGGCACCAAAAAGAAAGACGAGAAGUUAAACUAGCCAAAGUGAUCCCUAAAAUUGCAGAGCAGCAUGCAAGUGCUUAAUACUCCUCUGAAAACAUGUCUUUCAGAUAUCAAACGUGAACCUGUUAGCAUGACAGGACACUCUGAAGAGCUUGCGACUUGCUAUUGCUGCAGGGACUGGCAGCUGCAGUUACCAAAAAAAUAUGCAAAAUUCCACUAACCAUUCCUGCUGUUGCUACAUAAGCCAUCUUUCCACUGCUCAUUCCCAUUGUCAUUUUCACUUUGGUUGGCUUUUCACAUCAACAAAAGAGUUGACCAACCUUCAUAAAGUAUCAUUUUCUUUCUUUUUAUGCCAAUUUAGUGGAUGUGUUUUCAGAAGCUGGUGAAAUUCAAUUCAAUUCAAUUCAAUUCAAUUCAAUAGUUGCAAAACACAACAACAGUCACAUCAGGCACUUUAUACUCCAAGGUAAAAACCCAACAAUAAUAAAGGGAAAACCCCCAAAAUCAGAUGACCCCAUAUGAGCAAGCACUUGGCAAAAGUGGAAAGGAAAACUCCCUUUUAACAGGAAGAAACCUUGAGCAGAACCAAGCUCGGGAAGGAGCAGCCAUCUGCCAUGAACACUUGGGGGUGAUGGGAGGGAGACAAGACAAAAUAUAUACUGAGUCAGAAAAUCUUCCCUCUUACAUAUUCUGUGAUCACUUGACAUUAACAGAACAAAAACUGUAUUCCAGGAGCUUUAUUGCAUUGUCUCCUUGGCCAAGCAGCAUCUGUAGAUAUAACGUAAUAAUAACGUAGCUUUAGCAUCCAAUAGAACUAUAAGUUUACACUCUUAAAAUGUGUCCCGAAGAACUGGACUUUCCUUCAAAAGCAGUUUAAGAAGUUUACAGUGCCAUGAAAACUUUUUUUUCCCUGAUUUUCUUUGUUAUUUUGCAUUUUAAUCACACUUAACAAAUUUUAAUGUUAGACAGAGAUAGCCCUGGUUUUCGAACAUGAAUGGUCUGUUUAAGGUCACGCCAAAGCAUCUUAAUCAGACUAGACCUCGACUAGUUCACUCCUAGUCCACUGUUUUCUUGAGCCAUGCAGAGGUGGACUUGCUGGGGUGCCCUGAAUGUAUUGUAUUGCUGCAUUACCUUACGUGCCCUUCGGGCACAUGGCACAAACUGAUGGUCGGAAAUUCUCAUUCAGGAUUUUCUAGAAGAGCAGAAAUCCCAUUACUUUUUUUUAGUAUGAAUGGCCAAAACAGGAGGUUUUUAUCAAUAUGAAAAGCCGUCAAACUUGUGAAAAUACAGUUAAAAAUCCAAAACUUCUGUUUGUGCUUGUUUAUGGUGAGCAGCAGAUCAAACAAGAUAAGAAUUCUAAAUAGCUUCAACGCACAUUUUCAUUAAGACACUUAGACACUGAGCCACGGCUCUGUGCUACAUGCACACAUUUCCGCAUCUCUGCCAUUAAAAGAAACUUUAUAUAUAGGUUAUUUUAUGUAAUAUUCAAUACUGAACUGCAAUUUUUGUCUUUUUUAGAAAAGCAAUUUUUUAUUCACUGUUUUCCUAAACGCCUUGUUUUUAUAGAUUUACUAUGAGGGAGAAUACGCAUCAGGUUUAAGGCCUGGAAAAGUUUGAAAACUUUUGUUUUCCACAAUGAAAAAAAAAAAUUAGGAUCACCUUAGCCAGCUCCUAAUUUUAUAAAUUCUGCACUCGGGUUUGCGUCUCCAAUAUCAUCGAAAUGCACCCAGAUGCAGCUAAGUUUGAACAGCUUUUCCCCUUGCUAAACAAAAACAUUAUUUGAAAACUGCAUUUUGUCUUUCCUUUGGCUAUCUGUGUCCAAUAUUAGAAUUCAUUUGAUGACCUGAAACAAUUGGGUAUGGCAAAUAUACAAAAAAAGGAAGAAGAGAAGGAGAAAAUACUGUUUCAUGGCACUGUAUCAGGAUCUUUGUGUAUACUGUUUUAGUUAUAGCUGCUCUCCUCAUCAAAGAUGCAAGCCUCAAAAUUGUCAAGCACGAUACUCAUAAGGUAGCUUUUCAGUGAAGUAUUGCUUUAUGCUACUGAAGAAGAGGAAGAGCUGAAUCUGAAGAGGAGGUAAUGAAAGGCUAGUUUUUAAGGCACUGUGGCUGCAUGGACUGCCUCCAAUCCCUUUGCCCUGCAGGUUAGUAACAAGGAACUAGAAACAGCAAGGCUGCCCCCCGAGCUGCACUAAAAAGUUAAAGCCCUACCAUCUAAUAUUUUAUAAUCCUUCACUUAAUAAUGGACCCUGAGCCAGAGUGCUAUGUUUUUUCUGCAUUGUUUAAUGGAGCAGGGCCUGGGGAUGGGCAGUCAGACAUCUCUAAACUGAGUUUAGUGACAUGCAGUAUUUACACAAACAAACACACAAACUCACACGCCACUUGCAUGCAGACAUGGAGCUGUGCAUGCAUGUUACACAGCCACACACACACGCAGUUACUAACUGGCAGAUGGGCACACAAACACAAACAAACAAACAAACAAACAAUGGCGUUGGUUUUUUAAGAGGUGGGGGUGCAGGUCACAGUCACAAACAACUCCUCUUUAAAGUGAGUGGAAAAAUCCCUCCUUCCUCUCUCUAAAAGAAUAGUGCAGUUGACGGGUCCCCCUCCCCUCCCCAGCUUUCAGCUUAAACCUUUAUUUUAAAAAAAGGACAGAGGUGGUUCCCCCUAGCACAGGACAGAUAGCUGUGAUGGACAGAAGGCUGUGCGCUAUCCUUUAC